AGGAGUGUAGUUCAAUUGGUAGAGCGUCGGCCUCCAAAGCCGAAAGUGAGGGUUCAAGUCCUUCCACUCCUG
RNAcentral lists this transfer RNA (72 nucleotides) under Fidelibacterota bacterium. RNAcentral's name for it is "tRNA-Trp". It matches the Rfam family "tRNA". Rfam says of the family: Transfer RNA (tRNA) molecules are approximately 80 nucleotides in length. The record is from RNAcentral. Lineage: Bacteria; Pseudomonadati; Fidelibacterota.